This 1240-nucleotide unclassified non-coding RNA is filed under the name Hevea brasiliensis (rubber tree). The record is from RNAcentral. Lineage: Eukaryota; Viridiplantae; Streptophyta; Magnoliopsida; Malpighiales; Euphorbiaceae.
GAUGAAGCAGAGGAAUUUCCGAAAGAGAAGUAGAGUAGACGACGGGGAAGACGACUCGUCAACUAAGGAUAACAACGGCUCCGACGACGAGCAAGAAAGGAGAUUGGCUUUAGAGGAGGUGAAGUUUCUUCAAAAACAAAGAGAGAGGAAGCUAGGUGUACCAGCUGUAUCCUCAACUACAUCACAGGUUGCAGCAGGAGGAGGCGGCGGCGGUAGUAAUAGCAGUGCAGGUGGUAUGGUUCGCAAGGUGAAUGAUAAGGGUGAAGGGGAUGGAGAGAAGGAUGAGUUGGUGUUGCAAGAUACUUUUGCUCAGGAAACUGCUGUCAUGGAAGAAGACCCUAACAUGUUGAGAUAUGUUGAGCAAGAGUUGGCCAAAAAAAGAGGCAAGAACGUUGAUGUGGCUGAUCAAGUUGAAAAUGAGGUGAAGCGUGCAGAAGAUGAACUUUACAAAAUUCCAGAGCAUCUUAAAGUGAAAAGGAGGAACUCAGAAGAGAGCUCUACUCAGUGGACUACUGGAAUAGCUGAAAUACAGCUCCCUAUAGAGUACAAAUUGAAAAAUAUCGAGGAGACAGAGGCUGCUAAAAAGCUCCUACAGGAGAAGAGGCUCAUGGGAAGAGCCAGAACUGAAUCUAGCAUACCUUCAAGUUACUCAGCAGAUUAUUUCCAACGUGGCAAGGAUUAUGCUGAAAAACUCCGGAAAGAACAUCCUGAUUUGUACAAGGAUAAGAGUAAGGAUACUAAAAAUUCAGAAUCCAAACCCCAAGAUUCAACUUCAGAUGGAGCUGUUAAAAGGCAAGCUGCGACUGAUCAGUUCAUGCUUGAGCGCUUCCGUAAAAGAGAUCGUCAUAGGGUGAUGCGUAGAUAGUUCAUUGAAUAUGGUUCUCCCACAUACUCAAGCUGCUCCUCAGUGAAAAGUACAACUGUGCUGUGAAAGCAUAAGCUGUGUUGACUUGGAAGUAUCUGUCAUUUCAACUUCACCAGCCCCCAUCUUACAUUUUGGUGAAGAACUUUUACCAGCCCUAUUUUAUAUGCAGGUUGAUUUCUCUACUUUCCAUGAGGACUAAAAUAUGGUGGCAGUUCACUGUUGUUUUAUAUUUUUCUGGCCUUUUAUCUAUUUUACUUUUCCUUGUCAUUCACAGUGUUGCCUUUAUGCCCCCAAAAGGAAAAAUGACCACUUGGUUAAUUUGUUUUAUUCAUAAAAAUGUGUAUUAUCUCAUGGGGAUUGCUAGGCUGUGAUUUA